Pongo abelii (Sumatran orangutan) is the source of this 148-nucleotide unclassified non-coding RNA. It matches the Rfam family "Metazoan signal recognition particle RNA". Rfam says of the family: The signal recognition particle (SRP) is a universally conserved ribonucleoprotein. It is involved in the co-translational targeting of proteins to membranes. NCBI's taxonomy places the organism in Eukaryota, Metazoa, Chordata, Mammalia, Primates, Hominidae. The record is from Ensembl.
GCCAGGCAUAGUGGCCUGAGCCUGUAGUCCCAGCUACUUGAGAGGCUGAGGCAGGAGGAUCGAUUGAGCCCAGGAAUUUGAGGCUACAGUGAGCCAAGAUUAUGCUACUGCACUCCAGCCUGGGCAACAGAGCGAGACCCUGUCUCUU